UAGGGAAUCUUCCACAAUGGGACGCAAGUCUGAUGGAGCAACGCCGCGUGAGUGAAGAAGGUUUUCGGAUCGUAAAGCUCUGUUGUUGGUGAAGAAGGAUAGAGGCAGUAACUGGUCUUUAUUUGACGGUAAUCAACCAGAAAGUCACGGCUAACUACGUGUCAG
This 165-nucleotide ribosomal RNA is filed under the name uncultured bacterium. Its description in RNAcentral is "partial 16S rRNA". It matches the Rfam family "Bacterial small subunit ribosomal RNA", at positions 355 to 511 of the family's 1533-position model. The record is from RNAcentral.